This 2166-nucleotide ribosomal RNA is filed under the name Salmonella enterica subsp. enterica serovar Poona. Its description in RNAcentral is "partial 23S ribosomal RNA". It matches the Rfam family "Bacterial large subunit ribosomal RNA", at positions 655 to 2802 of the family's 2925-position model. The record is from RNAcentral. Lineage: Bacteria; Pseudomonadati; Pseudomonadota; Gammaproteobacteria; Enterobacterales; Enterobacteriaceae.
GUAUAGGGGAGCCGCAGGGAAACCGAGUCUUAACCGGGCGUUAAGUUGCAGGGUAUAGACCCGAAACCCGGUGAUCUAGCCAUGGGCAGGUUGAAGGUUGGGUAACACUAACUGGAGGACCGAACCGACUAAUGUUGAAAAAUUAGCGGAUGACCUGUGGCUGGGGGUGAAAGGCCAAUCAAACCGGGAGAUAGCUGGUUCUCCCCGAAAGCUAUUUAGGUAGCGCCUCGUGAAUUCAUCUCCGGGGGUAGAGCACUGUUUCGGCUAGGGGGCCAUCCCGGCUUACCAACCCGAUGCAAACUGCGAAUACCGGAGAAUGUUAUCACGGGAGACACACGGCGGGUGCUAACGUCCGUCGUGAAGAGGGAAACAACCCAGACCGCCAGCUAAGGUCCCAAAGUCAUGGUUAAGUGGGAAACGAUGUGGGAAGGCCCAGACAGCCAGGAUGUUGGCUUAGAAGCAGCCAUCAUUUAAAGAAAGCGUAAUAGCUCACUGGUCGAGUCGGCCUGCGCGGAAGAUGUAACGGGGCUAAACCAUGCACCGAAGCUGCGGCAGCGACACUAUGUGUUGUUGGGUAGGGGAGCGUUCUGUAAGCCUGUGAAGGUGGCCUGUGAGGGUUGCUGGAGGUAUCAGAAGUGCGAAUGCUGACAUAAGUAACGAUAAAGCGGGUGAAAAGCCCGCUCGCCGGAAGACCAAGGGUUCCUGUCCAACGUUAAUCGGGGCAGGGUGAGUCGACCCCUAAGGCGAGGCCGAAAGGCGUAGUCGAUGGGAAACGGGUUAAUAUUCCCGUACUUGGUGUUACUGCGAAGGGGGGACGGAGAAGGCUAUGUUGGCCGGGCGACGGUUGUCCCGGUUUAAGCGUGUAGGUGUGUGUUCCAGGUAAAUCCGGUUCACUUUAACACUGAGGCGUGAUGACGAGGCACUACGGUGCUGAAGCAACAAAUGCCCUGCUUCCAGGAAAAGCCUCUAAGCAUCAGGUAACAUCAAAUCGUACCCCAAACCGACACAGGUGGUCAGGUAGAGAAUACCAAGGCGCUUGAGAGAACUCGGGUGAAGGAACUAGGCAAAAUGGUGCCGUAACUUCGGGAGAAGGCACGCUGACAUGUAGGUGAAGUGAUUUACUCAUGGAGCUGAAGUCAGUCGAAGAUACCAGCUGGCUGCAACUGUUUAUUAAAAACACAGCACUGUGCAAACACGAAAGUGGACGUAUACGGUGUGACGCCUGCCCGGUGCCGGAAGGUUAAUUGAUGGGGUCAGCGCAAGCGAAGCUCCUGAUCGAAGCCCCGGUAAACGGCGGCCGUAACUAUAACGGUCCUAAGGUAGCGAAAUUCCUUGUCGGGUAAGUUCCGACCUGCACGAAUGGCGUAAUGAUGGCCAGGCUGUCUCCACCCGAGACUCAGUGAAAUUGAACUCGCUGUGAAGAUGCAGUGUACCCGCGGCAAGACGGAAAGACCCCGUGAACCUUUACUAUAGCUUGACACUGAACAUUGAGCCUUGAUGUGUAGGAUAGGUGGGAGGCUUUGAAGUGUGGACGCCAGUCUGCAUGGAGCCGACCUUGAAAUACCACCCUUUAAUGUUUGAUGUUCUAACGUGGACCCGUAAUCCGGGUUGCGGACAGUGUCUGGUGGGUAGUUUGACUGGGGCGGUCUCCUCCUAAAGAGUAACGGAGGAGCACGAAGGUUGGCUAAUCCUGGUCGGACAUCAGGAGGUUAGUGCAAUGGCAUAAGCCAGCUUGACUGCGAGCGUGACGGCGCGAGCAGGUGCGAAAGCAGGUCAUAGUGAUCCGGUGGUUCUGAAUGGAAGGGCCAUCGCUCAACGGAUAAAAGGUACUCCGGGGAUAACAGGCUGAUACCGCCCAAGAGUUCAUAUCGACGGCGGUGUUUGGCACCUCGAUGUCGGCUCAUCACAUCCUGGGGCUGAAGUAGGUCCCAAGGGUAUGGCUGUUCGCCAUUUAAAGUGGUACGCGAGCUGGGUUUAGAACGUCGUGAGACAGUUCGGUCCCUAUCUGCCGUGGGCGCUGGAGAACUGAGGGGGGCUGCUCCUAGUACGAGAGGACCGGAGUGGACGCAUCACUGGUGUUCGGGUUGUCAUGCCAAUGGCACUGCCCGGUAGCUAAAUGCGGAAGAGAUAAGUGCUGAAAGCAUCUAAGCACGAAACUUGCCCCGA